GCCCUUGUCGUCUAGAGGCCAAGGACAUCUCCCUUUCACGGAGGAAACGGGGAUUCGAAUUCCCCCAGGGGUU
RNAcentral lists this transfer RNA (73 nucleotides) under Poropsis sp. ID1_4. Its description in RNAcentral is "tRNA-Glu". It matches the Rfam family "tRNA". Rfam says of the family: Transfer RNA (tRNA) molecules are approximately 80 nucleotides in length. Their secondary structure includes four short double-helical elements and three loops (D, anti-codon, and T loops). The record is from RNAcentral. Lineage: Eukaryota; Viridiplantae; Chlorophyta; Ulvophyceae; Bryopsidales.